UACCAGCACCCCGAGUGGUCGGGACGUUUAUUGGGCCUAAAGCAUCCGUAGCCGGUUCUGCAAGUCUUCCGUUAAAUCCACCUGCUUAACAGAUGGACCGCGGAAGAUACUAUAGAGCUAGGAGGCGGGAGAGGCAAGCGGUACUCGAUGGGUAGGGGUAAAAUCCGUUGAUCCAUUGAAGACCACCAGUGGCGAAGGCGGCUUGCCAGAACGCGCUCGACGGUGAGGGAUGAAAGCUGGGGGAGCAAACCGG
This 253-nucleotide ribosomal RNA is filed under the name uncultured bacterium. RNAcentral's name for it is "partial 16S ribosomal RNA". It matches the Rfam family "Archaeal small subunit ribosomal RNA", at positions 474 to 727 of the family's 1478-position model. The record is from RNAcentral.